UUUUGCAAACAUGUUAACUCUGCAAAAUAUAUUAAUGGCUCAUAUACUGCUUCAAUUUGAAAGGAGGUGAGGACAGCUCCUUCUACCAUAUUCUAAACUAAAAUACCAGGCUACAGAGUAUGUUGAAAUUACAAGACGAGAUUAACAGAAAACUUUGCACUUUGCAGGCCCUUUCAUAUAACUCAACAAAAAGAUUCAGGCUCAGCAGAAGUAAUCAAGUUAAUGUAUUAAAUCCGAUACAGAUACCAAAAAGUCUUAACUUUUAAGCUAGUGACGAGGCAAAUAUAGAACACUAUCCGUCCCGUCAUCAAAUAUUAUAGUCAGUGGGGAAAGGAUUGAAGCCACUUUGUGCCAUUUUUUCCAAAGGCCCCAACAAAGGUUUUGGGAGUUUGUCCCAAUCAUACCAAUCCCAACCAUAGCACUUCUCAGGCUCAAGAUUUUGGGGCACUUGAUUGGGGUCGGCCAAGAUUGCACGAAGAAAGAUGGUAACAUAAUGUGAUGGCCUUGGCUCCUCCAGGUAGAGGCUGUUGGUAACCGUUAGAAAUUCUAUUUUGGAAAUAUCCAAACCUGUUUCCUCCUUCAUCUCUCUUGCCCCGCAUUCCUCAAAGCUCUCCCCAAACUCUAAGUGACCGCCGGGAAGUGCAAAGGUAGAGUCACCGAUGGAGGAGCGACGCCGCCCCAACAGCACCGAUUUGCCCUUCAACAAGAAGACUACCACAGCUACCCUAGGCACAGGUGUCUCUGCGUUUUUCUCCAUUUUUCUACUGAUGAUCUCUUUGCAACCCUUUCAGCUUCUCUCUUUCUAAACAGUUGAAGAGAAAAGUGGAAUCGGCCUUUUUAAUCAGACUCGGAACGGCGUCCUUUCGCUCCGUUUCGUACCCACGGCCUAACGCUUAUUUUCAAAGUUAU
Molecule: unclassified non-coding RNA, 909 nt
Filed under: Hevea brasiliensis (rubber tree)
Lineage: Eukaryota; Viridiplantae; Streptophyta; Magnoliopsida; Malpighiales; Euphorbiaceae
Source: RNAcentral